UGGACCUCGAGUUAGAGACCCUGAUCCAUUUCCAUUGAAAGAUUUUGUUAUUAACGGCAAAUUGGGGUGCUAUACCUUCAAGUGGUGACAGCUGUGAGGAUUGUUCUUGCCAAACACUGGAGAUAUAAACCAGAUGGGAAGGUUGCAGAUGGUGUGGCCAUGGAAUGCUGUAACUGACAUAAAUACAUACUGGAUGACCAUCACCCAAAGUCUGAUCACGUGACUCUGGGGAUGCUGUGAUGAUCGGCUAAUUUGCAAGUGUCUCAAAAAGACAGUCCUUUUUUCUCCCUUCUACCAUAUCACAUGAUCCAGCUUCGAAUUCAAAGCUCCAAACAUCUAUUGUUUCAUCAUAUUUGUUUUACAAUAGAGGGAAUCAUUUCUAUUUUGCAUUUGACAUUGCAAAUGAAACUGAAGAGGAAUGACAAGAAGAAGGACUGCAUACAAACAAGAAGCAGCAGCCACACAAAAUUCAAUACCACCAGGAAAAGAUAAAUAGUCAAAGAAAGAAUUGUUUUUUAAAUAUUCAUCUUCCAGGCACCAGCUACUGAUCUGUAUAGGAUUUCUUUUUUCAAACAUGACCUUUGUGGCGUGGUGCCCAGAUAUUUGCAGGCCUGCUUACUCCAUCUAAUAUAGAUAUCAGUCCAACUGAUUAGAUCUAACAGGACAAAAUUGUUAUUGACUUCACCUUUUCAAGAGAUUUGUGAGGCUGAAGCCAUAACUUGAAGCUUUUCAAUGGCAGUGCCAAUGCUUGGAACAACCUCCCAGAAGAGAUUAAGUUAGUUUACUUAUCAAGCCUUCUUCACUGAUGUUUGGGAAGUUUCCAAAGACGGAUCUUCUCCAAAGAGCCUUCCUUGAUUAUUAUCAUGCCAAUUUCAACUUCCAUUUUUGCUGCUUGUAUUUUUGUACUUUGUGCAGGUUUUUUUAUUCUUAUGGAAUUCAUACAGUGGCCACUUUACUUGGUUUUAUAUAUUAUAGAAGCUGCUGAGAGUCUUUUU
Long non-coding RNA from Crotalus tigris (Tiger rattlesnake), 995 nucleotides. RefSeq lists it as uncharacterized. The transcript has 3 exons. Lineage: Eukaryota; Metazoa; Chordata; Lepidosauria; Squamata; Viperidae. The record is from RefSeq and is a predicted model, not a curated record.